This 243-nucleotide ribosomal RNA is filed under the name uncultured bacterium. RNAcentral describes it as "partial 16S ribosomal RNA". It matches the Rfam family "Bacterial small subunit ribosomal RNA", at positions 1243 to 1500 of the family's 1533-position model. The record is from RNAcentral.
UGCGAAGCGAAGCAGUGAUGUGAAGCAAAUCGCACCAAAGCCGGUCCCAGUUCGGAUAAGAGGCUGAGACUCGCCUCUUUGAAGUCGGAAUCGCUAGUAAUCGCAGAUCAGCAUGUUGCGGUGAAUACGUUCCCGGGUCUUGUACACACCGCCCGUCAAACCAUGAGAGUCACCAACACCCGAAGUCCGCUUUGGCGGCCUAAGGUGGGGGAGAUGAUUGGGGUUAAGUCGUAACAAGGUAAC